ACCAGGAUGGUUGAGUUGUUAAGGUGUUGGACUUAAGAUCCAAUGGCUUAAUGUCUGUGUGGGAUGGAACCCCACUCCUGGUA
This 83-nucleotide transfer RNA is filed under the name Lepisosteus oculatus (spotted gar). It matches the Rfam family "tRNA". Rfam says of the family: Transfer RNA (tRNA) molecules are approximately 80 nucleotides in length. Their secondary structure includes four short double-helical elements and three loops (D, anti-codon, and T loops). The record is from Rfam by way of RNAcentral. Lineage: Eukaryota; Metazoa; Chordata; Actinopteri; Semionotiformes; Lepisosteidae.